RNAcentral lists this unclassified non-coding RNA (233 nucleotides) under plant metagenome. RNAcentral describes it as "partial contains small subunit ribosomal RNA, internal transcribed spacer 1, and 5.8S ribosomal RNA". The stretch from base 1 to 54 matches the Rfam family "Eukaryotic small subunit ribosomal RNA", at positions 1778 to 1831 of the family's 1831-position model. The record is from RNAcentral.
GGAAGUAUAAGUCGUAACAAGGUUUCCGUAGGUGAACCUGCGGAAGGAUCAUUCAUAAUAAAGUGUUUUAUGGCACUUUUUAAAAAUCCAUAUCCACCUUGUGUGCAAUGUUAGAUCUCGUCAAUCUUGGCGAGAUUUUUAUACAUCAACUCAUUCUUUAACUAAUUUGUCUGAAAAAUAUUAUGAAUACUUAAUUCAAAAUACAACUUUCAACAACGGAUCUCUUGGCUCUC